UCCCUGGAGGACUAGUGGUUAGGCCACAGCGCUCUCACCGCCGUGGCCCGGUUUCGAUUCCCAGCCAGGGAA
This 72-nucleotide transfer RNA is filed under the name Pangasianodon gigas (Mekong giant catfish). RNAcentral's name for it is "tRNA-Glu". It matches the Rfam family "tRNA". Rfam says of the family: Transfer RNA (tRNA) molecules are approximately 80 nucleotides in length. Their secondary structure includes four short double-helical elements and three loops (D, anti-codon, and T loops). Further hydrogen bonds mediate the characteristic L-shaped molecular structure. tRNAs have two regions of fundamental functional importance: the anti-codon, which is responsible for specific mRNA codon recognition, and the 3' end, to which the tRNAs corresponding amino acid is attached (by aminoacyl-tRNA synthetases). tRNAs cope with the degeneracy of the genetic code in two manners: having more than one tRNA (with a specific anti-codon) for a particular amino acid; and 'wobble' base-pairing, i.e. permitting non-standard base-pairing at the 3rd anti-codon position. Lineage: Eukaryota; Metazoa; Chordata; Actinopteri; Siluriformes; Pangasiidae. The record is from RNAcentral.